RNAcentral lists this ribosomal RNA (207 nucleotides) under uncultured bacterium. Its description in RNAcentral is "partial 16S ribosomal RNA". It matches the Rfam family "Bacterial small subunit ribosomal RNA", at positions 1294 to 1500 of the family's 1533-position model. The record is from RNAcentral.
CGGAUUGAAGGCUGAAAUUCGCCUUCAUGAAGCCGGAAUUGCUAGUAAUGGCAGGUCAGCAUACUGCCGUGAAUACGUUCCCGGGCCUUGUACACACCGCCCGUCACACCAUGAGAGUUGGGAAUACCCGAAGCCUGUGAGCUAACUGUAAAGAGGCAGCAGUCGAAGGUAGAAUCAAUGAUUGGGGUGAAGUCGUAACAAGGUAGC